RNAcentral lists this ribosomal RNA (218 nucleotides) under Providencia rettgeri. RNAcentral's name for it is "partial 23S ribosomal RNA". It matches the Rfam family "Bacterial large subunit ribosomal RNA", at positions 566 to 676 of the family's 2925-position model. The record is from RNAcentral. Lineage: Bacteria; Pseudomonadati; Pseudomonadota; Gammaproteobacteria; Enterobacterales; Morganellaceae.
ACAAGCAGUGGGAGCCCCACCACCAAAGCAUUUUCUGGUGUUGAGGACAACUUUGAAGUGACAUUCAACACGCGUUGGCGGAGCGUUUUUUGCGACGCCCAACACACAAAACAAGCAGUGAAUGUGCUUUGGGGUGGGGUGACUGCGUACCUUUUGUAUAAUGGGUCAGCGACUUAUAUUCUGUAGCAAGGUUAACCGUAUAGGGGAGCCGUAGGGAA